UACGGAGGGUGCGAGCGUUGUUCGGAAUUACUGGGCGUAAAGCGCGUGCAGGCGGCCGACUAAGUCAGGUGUGAAAGCCCGGGGCUCACCUCCGGAAGUGCGCUUGAAACUGGUCGGCUAGAGUACGGGAGAGGGAAGCGGAAUUCAUGGUGUAGCAGUGAAAUGCGUAGAUAUCAUGAGGAACACCAGAGGCGAAGGCGGCUACCUGGACAGUUACUGACGCUCAGGCACGAAAGCGUGGGGAGCAAAAGGG
Molecule: ribosomal RNA, 253 nt
Filed under: uncultured bacterium
Lineage: Bacteria
Description: partial 16S ribosomal RNA
Rfam family: Bacterial small subunit ribosomal RNA
Source: RNAcentral